AGGCAGUGCUCCACAGCUGCAGGCUGUCUGGUCAGCAGGCUAAUGAGGGAACUAGCUGGCACCUAUACCCGGUCAGCUGACCGGAAGGAGACAGGGCCCUGGGUACAUAUAAGCCCCAGGGCUGGCAGGGGUUAGCUCUCUGGCAGCAGCCAGGGGGAAGGAGCUCUUACGGGAAAAGCUACUUGGAGAUGCUGGGUUGCCUGUUCUGCUACUGGAGUGUACUUGGUAGGCAUGUUGGUCCCACCAGGGAAGGAAUCCUACCUGAUCUACACAUCAAAGAGCUACUCAGCACAGCUCACAAAGACACUCUCAUGGACCCAGAUGGAAACAGCCUUCCUUCUUCAGCUCCCUCUGUGCAAAAAUGAAGUUUAUUAACUACCUAGGGGGACUUUUUACCAUCUUGUACCAUCUAUACUUUUCCCAGAACCUGAUGAAGGGACUUUGAUCCUGAAAGCUUGCAGAAAAGGACAAUUUUCUUGCAAUUUCCCAGUUGGUCUAAUAAAAGGUAUCAUUUUGGAACCAAGA
Molecule: long non-coding RNA, 525 nt
Organism: Alligator mississippiensis (American alligator)
Lineage: Eukaryota; Metazoa; Chordata; Crocodylia; Alligatoridae
Exons: 2
Source: RefSeq, a predicted model, not a curated record